UGGUCGUCUACUGCAGCUGUAAAUAGCACACGCCAUAAUGAAAUCACUACGAAAUGGGAUGCCUGCAUUUUCUGACUUCGCACAGACUUACAUGGAAACCGGAUAUGAAAACACCUAUACUGGAGCCAACCGUAGUGGCGCUAGUGAGGAACCAGGAACAACAAGACCAGGAAACGAGCUUCAAAAACGAAGUCUGGUUUUGGACGCUUGGUAUAGACUCACUUUUCUUUAUAUACGCUUUCAACGGUAACAACAUAAACAAACGUUACUGCGCAUGUGCGUUGUUCUGGCCCUAACUUAACUUCCGACAGACUUCCGCAAACAAUCAAUAACAACAGAGUCUCUCUGGGAUAUUUUUGAUAACAAGCAAAAUAAUAAUAAUAAUAUUUUAUAUAGCGCUUUUCACAGUCUCAAAGACGCUUUACAAAACAGGGAAGAAACAAUCAACAAAAGAAACCAGGAUACAAGCAUAAUUUAUAACAAGUAAAUUACGUUAGCUAUUUAAAAUUAUGUCUAGCCAGUAUUAUCUGGGGUCACCAGUCACAGAAAAGAACCGUUACUUGGCCAAACUCAAAUGCGAUAAUGUAACACUCCCAGACCCUUUCAACAAAAUGUUAAGACAAGAAUGUUUUUCUACAGACCUGUCUGAUUUACCGGAGGUCAGUCAGGUACACAUCUUUGAAUACCUAGUCGAGAGGGAAUUGGGAUGGCAGGUAUGCCAUCCCGCCAAGUUACGCCUUGGUGGGGGCAUGCCCCAUACCUAUACAGCACCGAGAGUUCGGCACUUUUCAGGGUUCCCCACAGAAAUAACCACAACAGCCACAGACACUCAGCCCUUAAAAACAUUAAAUUCUGUACAUUCUGACCCCAUUUCAACAAACCGAUUGGGAUGGCAGGUAUGCCAUCCUGCCAAGUUACGCCUUGGCGGGGGCAUGCCCCAUACCUAUACAGCACCGAGAGUUUGGCACUUUUCAGGGUUCCCCACAGAAAUAACCACAACAGCCACAGACACUCAGCCCUUAAAAACAUUAAAUUCUGUACAUUCUGACCCCAUUUCAACAGACAGAUUUCAUAAACAACUUCACAUGUCCACACAAUAAAGCCCCAAACUAAGGGGAUUUUGUGUUUUCUCCUUCUUCUCUUUCUUCUUCUUCUUCUUCUCAUUCUUAUUUUUCCUGCCGCCUAUCCCACUAACAACAUGUCUCCCCAUUGGAUAUUUUACCGACACCAGCCAAAUCCUCACCCUCACGACCCAAUCAAAAACUCGCAUACACACGCAAAAUACCCAUACAUUUUUAUUCUGAAACAUUUCCAGUUUGAACAGUUAAUCUGCAUGUGGCCUAGUGGGUAAGGUUACAGUCUUGGGAACAUGGGGUCAUAGGUUCAAGCCCAGCUAAGGACAUGUUUCUUUAACCUGCUUUUACCCUCGCUAAUAAUUGUCUACUACUUCUCAAUUAUUGCUUUUGCACCAUAUCUACCAGCCAUUCACCGAACGUAUACACUGCAUUAUGACGUACCGUCUGCACGUUCAGUUAUUAACCGGCUACAAUAUUGCAAAGCCAUAUGGAUUCAACGGGAGCUCUUCUGUGCUUACUGGCCUGUGUUCUUCUUUAAAACCACAGACAGGUUUGCUAAUGAUAUUUCGCGCAUUGCAUAGCUAUGUCAUGGUGCUGCACUAACAAAGUCACAGACUGGUAAACCUCCGGUUUAAGGAUUGAAUCCCGCCUCGCCCUCAGGCAGAUAAUUUCCUCUUUUACACUAACGUUUUCUUACGCUUUUAUAUUUUCUUUAUCAAAACUCACUCACGGCCACUCAUAUACAUUUCAUGACGGCAAAUGUAUUCCUUUUAUUAAAAAGUUACACCAGUUCACCACUGUGUCAUUUCUACUAACUAUAUUUCUUCACCUGGCUAUCGUACAAAACCUUCUUAUCAGCAAACGCCACGUUUCUACAUUCAUGUUACCUCGCCCUGUUCUCUAUCUAGCCACAUACAAACAAUUACUACGCAUGUACGUUCUGCAACUCCCCAUUAAAACAUUACAUUUAAAACCAUGAGUCACUCAUAAGUAUAACUACUAGUACUGAACAUGAAAAAAGCACAUUAGUGCAAUAGAUUUCACACGUUACUUAACCCUCCACUUCAACAGAUGAUACUUUACACCGACUAUUAUACCAUUCCAUAAGGAAACUAAGCUCGCUCAUGGUCACUUUAUUUACUCCGCACUAUAGUCUGUGAUCAUCUCAACCUUCACCUACAUACCCAUUCUGCUAAAAACAUAUUGUUUCAACUACGCAAUUUCAUCAUUUCGUCCUAAUUUCUCUCACGCUGUUGUUAUUUUCUCAUAUGCAAAGCCUGCUGGGACAUAUGCGUCUGCUCCUAUUCUCCACUAUCAAGUUUUCCGGUUCUAGCUUAGCAAAACAGCGAACAGGAUUCCAACCUGCAGAUAAGCCUAUCAAAAUGCCUCAUAAACCUUACAAACACUAAAAGUGCAUCACCACGAAAUAACAGACAACGGAGCAGGACAGCAGGGUACACAAGUUGCGACCUAGGCAGCUCUAAUUCUACGGGCUUGCUGAUUCUUUUCUCAAUCAAGGCUCGUUGAGUACAUACAUACACUGGCCAUAUUUCACCUGCGUUUCUGUUGCGUUUAUGCUUACGCCACCGCACCCUUUGUCACAGCCACUGUUUAACAUGUAUAGCAAACCGAAACUGCUAAACAGUACACGCUCAUCAUACUGUACAAAUUCACACAAGGAUAGCCAUAAUCCACAACCGUUUCUUACAGGGUCACUUCGCAUUUCUCGCUCUCGUAAUAAAACGCUUUGCAAAAAGAAAUGAUAUCUCAUAAAAAACACGUUUUCAACGUACAAAAAUGCCAAGUUACUCAAAAGUAUUGAUAUCAAAAUGACGCCAAGUUACGGUACUACAAACAAUAUAGGCUAUCUUGCCUCACCGAAAUUACAUAAGAUGUAUUUCAAAGCAAUGCUACCCAAUAUUUCCUCAAUUCUUUCAACGUGUUUUUUAUGAGAUGUGUAUAUACAAGGUUCAAGGCAUAUCGCAGCUUGGAUGCCUAUAACUAUUUUAUACUAUCCUAACCCACAAGAAUGGAAAUACCUGUGUCGUUUACGGGGAAAUCGAGGCAGGUCAGGCGCUUUCCAAGCGCUACUCCGCCUGGAUCGUUGCGACGAAGUCCGGUGAAGUCCAGUGUGGGCAUUGCACCUGCAUGGCAGGCAAUGGAGAGGUGUGUAGCCAUGUGGGCACGAUUUUGGUUACUGUGGAGCAGUGUGUCCAGGAUGGACUCCAGAGUGGCCCAUCCGUCACCUCAAAACCAAGUGUUUGGUCACGGGUGACUAAGAAGGCUGAUCCACAACCAGUAGCUCAAUGUGAUUUCUUGAAACCUGGCAAGAGGAUGCGGCUACAAGCUCCCCUCUGCCUUCCCCCGCUAAAUCCAGAUGGGUCACCAAAAAAGCUUUUUAAGGCCCUGAAUGUAAGUUAUAGGUCACAUAUAUCCAACAAAUCCACCAGUUAGCCUAAUUUAAAAGAUUCAGUACUAUAUAUAUGGCAGUGUAGGUGAGUAAAGUCUUUUCACAUUUUCUUUUAGGAAGUUGUGCCAGACUGUGCUCUCUUUAAUGUCAUGUGUGACAGCAGUGAGACAGACACAGCCUCUGAGUCAGGUAGCCAGGAUUUCACCAGCAUUCAGGGACAGCAGGAUGCGCAGGGAGAGGAACCCGACGUGUUCAGCAGCUUACCUCAGCCCCACAGUGAGCAUGGUAGCGCUCUGCGCUGUCCAAAGUGCACAACAUUUUAUGAUGCCUUCAUUAAACUGAGCCCUGAUCAAGUGGUAGAACUAGAGAGAAACACCAGAAAACAGAGCAUAGAACCACUCUGGCAUGAUGCGGGCAAGCUG
Long non-coding RNA from Anguilla rostrata (American eel), 3908 nucleotides. RefSeq lists it as uncharacterized. The record is from RefSeq and is a predicted model, not a curated record. NCBI's taxonomy places the organism in Eukaryota, Metazoa, Chordata, Actinopteri, Anguilliformes, Anguillidae. The transcript is spliced from 4 exons.